AGGACUAACGCUGGCGGCGUGCCUAACACAUGCAAGUCGAACGAGGGGUAGCAAUACCCCUAGUGGCAGACGGGUGAGUAACACGUAGUCAACCUACCUCUUAAUGGGGGAUAACUAGCCGAAAGGUUAGCUAAUACCGCAUACGAUCGUCGAGUGGCAUCACACGACGAUGAAAGGAGCAAUCCGUUGAGAGAGGGGACUGCGUCCCAUUAGUUAGUUGGUGGGGUAAUGGCCUACCAAGACUCCGAUGGGUAGCUGGCUUGAGAGAGCGACCAGCCACACUGGAACUGAGACACGGUCCAGACUCCUACGGGAGGCAGCAGUGAGGAAUUUUCCGCAAUGGGGGAAACCCUGACGGAGCGACGCCGCGUGUGGGAAGAAGGCCUUCGGGUCGUAACCACUGUCGAGGGGGACGAUAUUGACGGUACCCCUGGAGGAAGCCCCGGCUAACCUACGUGCCAGCAGCCGC
Molecule: ribosomal RNA, 469 nt
Filed under: uncultured bacterium
Lineage: Bacteria
Description: SSU rRNA
Rfam family: Bacterial small subunit ribosomal RNA
Source: RNAcentral